This 250-nucleotide ribosomal RNA is filed under the name uncultured prokaryote. RNAcentral's name for it is "partial 16S rRNA". It matches the Rfam family "Bacterial small subunit ribosomal RNA", at positions 525 to 775 of the family's 1533-position model. The record is from RNAcentral.
ACGUAGGGGGCAAGCGUUAAUCGGAAUUACUGGGCGUAAAGCGUGCGCAGGCGGUUAGGAAAGAAGGAUUUGAAAUCUCCGGGCUCAACCUGGGGACGGCUUUGAAAAUGUAUGACUUGAGUACAGUAGAGGUAAGCGGAAUUCCCAGUGUAGCGGUGAAAUGCGUAGAUAUUGGGAGGAACACCAGUGGCGAAGGCGGCUUACUGGGCUGGAACUGACACUGAGGCGCGAAAGCUAGGGGAGCAAACGG